RNAcentral lists this ribosomal RNA (497 nucleotides) under uncultured bacterium. RNAcentral's name for it is "partial 16S ribosomal RNA". It matches the Rfam family "Bacterial small subunit ribosomal RNA", at positions 28 to 507 of the family's 1533-position model. The record is from RNAcentral.
GACGAACGCUGGCGGCGUGCAUAAUACAUGCAAGUUGAGCGCUGAAGGUUGGUACUUGUACCAACUGGAUGAGCAGCGAACGGGUGAGUAACGCGUGGGGAAUCUGCCUUUGAGCGGGGGACAACAUUUGGAAACGAAUGCUAAUACCGCAUAAAAACUUUAAACACAAGUUUUAAGUUUGAAAGAUGCAAUUGCAUCACUCAAAGAUGAUCCCGCGUUGUAUUAGCUAGUUGGUGAGGUAAAGGCUCACCAAGGCGAUGAUACAUAGCCGACCUGAGAGGGUGAUCGGCCACAUUGGGACUGAGACACGGCCCAAACUCCUACGGGAGGCAGCAGUAGGGAAUCUUCGGCAAUGGACGAAAGUCUGACCGAGCAACGCCGCGUGAGUGAAGAAGGUUUUCGGAUCGUAAAACUCUGUUGGUAGAGAAGAACGUUGGUGAGAGUGGAAAGCUCAUCAAGUGACGGUAACUACCCAGAAAGGGACGGCUAACUACGUG